AAUCGUUGGUGGCACAACUUCCCCUUCAGGGCGGUUGGUUCACGCGCACGCACAUAAGUACAAAUACGCAAGUGCCAAAACCCGCCCACAACAGGCGGGUUUUUUUAU
This is a non-coding RNA of Xenorhabdus poinarii, 108 nucleotides long. The record is from Rfam. NCBI's taxonomy places the organism in Bacteria, Pseudomonadati, Pseudomonadota, Gammaproteobacteria, Enterobacterales, Morganellaceae.